AGACGGAGGGAGCAAGCGUUGCUCGGAAUUACAGGGCGUAAAGGGCGUCUAGGCGGGACGGUAAGUCGGAUGUGAAAGCCCUGGGCGCAACCCAGGAAGUGCAUUCGAAACUACCGUUCUUGAGUGUGGCAGAGGAGAGCGGAAUUCCCGGUGUAGCGGUGAAAUGCGUAGAUAUCGGGAAGAACACCAGUGGCGAAGACGGCUCUCUGGGCCACUACUGACGCUAAAGCGCGAAAGCUAGGGGAGCAAACGGGAUUAGAAACCCCAGUAGUCC
RNAcentral lists this ribosomal RNA (274 nucleotides) under uncultured bacterium. Its description in RNAcentral is "partial 16S ribosomal RNA". It matches the Rfam family "Bacterial small subunit ribosomal RNA", at positions 523 to 796 of the family's 1533-position model. The record is from RNAcentral.